UCACAUUUUAUCAUUUAUUUGGAUGAUAUUAAAUAAAUAACUUUGGGACAGGGAGUGUAAGAUAGUUAAUGUCCAUUAUUUUAAUGCUUUUUUUUCUUAUAACGCCAAAUUCAUUAUGAAAUUGGGCUCAUUUUUGCUUUGAUGUGGUCUUUUUAAAUAAUCACAUAUAGUACAGUGAUUUUGAAUGUAUGAAAUAAUGUUUUUAAACAAAAAAUGUUUUUCUGCUUGUAUUAUCUUAGUUUCAUUAAGAUGAAAUUUAAUGAUUGUUGGGGAAUCUUUUGUGCCUCCAACUUCACUCUUCCCCUUCCCCGAGUUGGUAGCUUAAGAAAGAAUAAAGAUGAGGGAGAAUCAAUCCCAAUAACUCACAGAGAAGGGGGCAAAGAAGAGCUGGUAGUUGUCUUUUGGAAACCACUUACCAUACUUCCACUUUUGUUUCCAUGCACUCUUGUAAACAAAAUGUGUGUGUGUGUGUGUGUGUGUGUGUGUGUGUGUGUGUGUGUUUGCCUAUUCUGUUUUAUGGACAUUAAAAGAAGUAGAGAGGGCACACGAAGAGAAGGGGAAAAGCAAUGGAGAUCUAAAUAAAGCAAUGCAGGCACAGGCACCCAGAAAGGGACAGCAAAGUUUGAGGGUGCAUUAGUCAUCCAUUGCCGUGUAACAAAUUGCCACAAAACUUGGUAGCUGAAAACAAUAGUAAACAUUUAUUAUAUCUCAAGCUUUCUUUGAAGGUUUAGAAUUUGGGCUUUUCUGGGUGCUUUAAGCUUGGGGGGGUCUCAUGAAGUUCAGUUGCCAUGGGCAUCACAGUUCUAGGAUUCCAAGGCAAAUCAUUCAUGCAUACAUGGCAAGUUGGUGCUAGCUGGUUGGGGAGAGGGAUAGCUUCAUCCCUCCCUAUAUGGGCCUCUACGGGGCUGUAUGAAUGUCCUCAUGACUUGGUGACUGACUUCCCCCAGAGCAAGUGAUCUAUAAAAGCCAGCAAGGGGGCAGCUGUCAGACUUGUUAGGACCUAGCCUAGAAGUCACACACCAACACUUCUUCAGUACCCAGUUGAUAUACAAGCUUGUCCUGUUCGCUGUGGGGAAUCACUACACAAAGACAUAAAUACCAGGAUGCAAGGUUCAUUGGGUGCCAUUUUGGAGACUGACUACCAGUCAGAGAAAUAUGAAAAAGAGAUACAUGAACUCACAGACUUGUAUGAAUGGGAAAGGAUGAAAGAUUAGGUGGUUCAGUUAUGAGGAUGAUUGUUGUGCAACACAAUUUGUGAGGCGAAUGUGAUGACCACUACACUACGGAAACAGCACACGUGAUUUGUGACAAAUGUGAAGACUGCCGUAUUCCUUAUACUGAAGGUGUUCCUUACUGCAGACUCUGUGCAUUGCACGCAAUAUGCUUCCCUGUGCCUUCAGGAUAAUCAUCUUGACAGCACAGAAUAUAAAGCGAAGCUUCAUUAAAGCAUGAUAUUUAUCUAGAAAUCUUACCAUAUCAAAAAACUAUCCACUUUUCCCUGCAAAAAUCAGUACUUUCAACUUUCUUACACUGAAGACUCUUGCCUCAUCUAAGAGGUACCAAAAUACUGUAACAGUUAAGAUGAUGGUCUGUCUAGCUUGAAAGGUAUAUUUAUGACAACAUUUUACCAACACACAAUAUAUAAUGGGGUACUUUUCAGGUUACUUUUAGCAGACAAAAUUAUCCUAACAUUGUUGACACGAAAAAUGAGAGGCAAGUAAAUUGACUGUCUAAAAUUGAAAGUAAUGCGUUGUUUGGUUGCCCAUUUUAAUCCUUUUAAUAAUAGUGAAUGUUUAUAGAACAUUCACUCUGUGGCAGGCACUAUUCUAACUACCUCACAUAUCAAGUCAUUUAAUCCUCAACAAUCCUUUUGUUCUGGUUUUAUAGAGUAAAAAAAUGAAAUACAAACAUGGUGAAAAGGGAUUUAGAUCCAUGAAGUCUUUCUUCAGCACCUGUGCCCUGAACCACAGUGCUGUGCAUAGAACAGGCUCCCUCCGGCUAGCUCAGAACCUAGAUUCAUUAAUAAUGACAACAUUUCUCUCAGAUCCACUCCAUGGUCAGAACCUAAAGCCUAGCUAUACUUCUCAGGGCUAGAAGGGGGAAAUGGAAAGCUUCCAGAAAGCUAGGAGUGUUUGUCUCGACGGUCAGUGUGGAGGUAGGUAGGUCUGAGUUGACUUUGUCAGAGGAUCACUGUCGAUGCUGAUUAGAGAAUAAGCUCUAUUGGGACAAGGGGAGAUCUUGUUAUGGGGCGUUGGAUAGAGUGGUAGUAAAAGAAAUUAUGAGUAGUGCUAGGAAUGUGGGUAUAAUAAGAAAGAGAGCCAGUAGGAUUUCCUUAUGGGUGUAAGAAAAGAGGAAAAACCUUUUGCCAAAGCAGUUGGAAAGAUGGAGUCCAUAUCAACUCAGAUAAAGAUAGGGUAGGUUUGAGGUCAAAGAUCACGGUGUAUCACAGGGACAGCUGGAUGAUCAGGAGCAGAGUUAGAGAAGUCUCAGCUAGAGAUAAAAAUUGGGGAUUUGCCAAGAUCUAGAUGGCUCAGCUCACAAAGGGCAUAGCUAGAUCUUUUGGACAAGUGGAUCUAGCUGAGACAGAGACGGAGCCCUAGGAUCUGGAGAGAAGAGGAAGACACAGCAAAAGAAAUUGGGGGUGAAGAGGGAGAACCAAGAGUGUGGUGGUCUGCAGGCGAAAGAAAGAUGGUAUGUCAGGGAGGAGAGAGGAAUAACUCAUUGUGAAUUCUACUGGAAGGUGAGGACUAAUAACUGGCCAUUGGGUUUAACAAUUUGGAGGUCAUUGGUUAUCUUGAUGAAAGCAAAUAUGGAGGUAUAAGCAAAAGUUUAACUGGAAUGAAUGCAAGAGAAUUGGAAGCAAGGAAUUGGAAAUAGUGAAUUAGUAAGCAGUAAAUCUAUGAGUUUUAAUGUAAAGAAGAUCAAAGACAGGACAGUGAGGGUGGUAGCUGUCACAUAAAUUAGAGGUUGAGAGUAGUUAUCAUGGAAACCGAUGAGCUCAGUGCCCCCUUUCCGGUAAAUAUUUAUUGUAUUCCUACUAUAUGUCUAACAAUGUACAAAAUUUUAAAGAUAUAAAAAUGAAUAAGACAUGGCUUCUCCCCUUGGGGUGUUUACUUUCCAGUGAGAGAGUUAGAUGUAAAAUAGUGUGCUAUGGAGUCUCAAGUGUGUGCAGGUAUCCAGGUUGCGGGUUCAGGGAGGGCCCUGGAGAGAAAUGAUGGAGAAGGUGAUGUCUGAGCUGCGUCUUGGGACUUGUACCAUCUGAGUAAUAAUCCAGCUGCUUCCAAUUACUAUUUUAGGAUCUACGGGAGAAACAAAACUGUCCUAUUGGUUCCUGACUAAAAGUAGCCAAGUCUUAAAAAUUACUUUAGUGUGUUAAUUUCCUUAAUCUUAGUCCAGUCAUUGGGUUGCUUGCACUGUUCUUUGUGAACUUCCGGAAAACUCAGUAGCAUGUUUUGAAAACACCAAUGUAUGACCCAAACAUUCUUAUCAGCAUCCUCCCUAUAUUUAGCCACUAACAAAGGACAAGUAAAUGAACAAGGAUGUGUAAAUAGAAUGAGGAAUGUCGAAGAUAAGUGGAUGAAGUCAAGGAAGAUAGAUGUUCAUUCGCUUAUUAAUUCCUUCAUUUAAUGUUCAUGUAUUUGUUCUUUAUGAUGAACUUUGGACAGGGUCAUACAAAAGCUUAACUUGGACAGUGAAUAUAGGGAAAAAAUAAAAAUGAGAAGAGGAGCAAAGGAAUGACAUAUUCUGGCAGGCUUUUGAAGUUAGAAGCCCAGAAAAACAUGAUAAUAUAGUGAAAAAGUAGAUUUUAAAAUGAUGCCAUACUUAAGUAUAGACCCCACCUUUCCCAGUUACUAGUUGAGUAAUCUUGAGCAAGCUAAUGACUGUACGUAGUCUGUGACCUCAGAGUAGUAACUCUACCACUCAAGCUUGUUGUGGGAACUAUGGGCACCACAGUGGAAUGUUAGGACGUAGCCAAUAUUCAAAAAUUGCACGUCACUUCUCUUUUUCUUUAGCUGGAGCUUUCUCCUUAUUUCUUCUAGUUUAUAAAGUUUGGUAGUCAUGCUGGAGUUUGAGAUAAAUAAUUGCAGAGCAUUCUUUCUCUCCCCUCUUCUUCGGUAGUACCAACAACAUGCUAUGAGCAUUGUGAACAUGAGUGGCGGGGCGGGGGACAAAAACUAGACACCCAACUCAGACACACAUGCUGAGCAUCAGCCAUGCUGCAUCUCUGCAAGUGGAAACACUUCCCGGAAUCUGUUCAGACAGGAUAAUGAACAGGAUCCUUCCAGAAAUUGUCCUUCUCUUCUGCUCUCCUUCCAGUCCUACUGACCUGCAGCUUCUGGGAGAAGAGAGACAAGAGUUGGGUGGGGUUUGUUGAGCCUGACGAAAGGGAGAGGUGGGUUAGAGGAGCGUGUUGGUGCCUGAGUGAUGUGGGGAGCUCUGUUGUGACUCUGCGUACAGCUGUGUUAUAGAGGGAAGGAUGGGGGCGCUGGAAGAUACAAGGAGGAAAGCUGAAGUGUAUAUUGCAGUGCUGCUAUUCUCAUCAACCCUUGGCCAAUUAUGAGAGAAUUUAAAAACUAAGCCCAGUGGAUUUAGAGGCCGAACUGAAUUGUAUUUAAAUUAUUUGCUUGCACAGAAAA
This is a long non-coding RNA of Mustela erminea (ermine), 4637 nucleotides long. RefSeq lists it as uncharacterized. The transcript is spliced from 2 exons. The record is from RefSeq and is a predicted model, not a curated record. NCBI's taxonomy places the organism in Eukaryota, Metazoa, Chordata, Mammalia, Carnivora, Mustelidae.